GCCUUCGUGGUGUAGUGGUCAGCACGCUGGGCGUGUAAGUGAAAGAUCCGUGGUUCGAUUCCUGGCGAAGGCG
This 73-nucleotide transfer RNA is filed under the name Stegodyphus mimosarum. It matches the Rfam family "tRNA". From Rfam's summary of the family: Transfer RNA (tRNA) molecules are approximately 80 nucleotides in length. Their secondary structure includes four short double-helical elements and three loops (D, anti-codon, and T loops). The record is from Rfam by way of RNAcentral. Lineage: Eukaryota; Metazoa; Arthropoda; Arachnida; Araneae; Eresidae.